AGUGAACGCUGGCGGUAGGCCUAACACAUGCAAGUCGAACGGCAGCACAGUAAGAGCUUGCUCUUACGGGUGGCGAGUGGCGGACGGGUGAGGAAUACAUCGGAAUCUACUUUUUCGUGGGGGAUAACGUAGGGAAACUUACGCUAAUACCGCAUACGACCUACGGGUGAAAGCAGGGGAUCUUCGGACCUUGCGCGAUUGAAUGAGCCGAUGUCGGAUUAGCUAGUUGGCGGGGUAAAGGCCCACCAAGGCGACGAUCCGUAGCUGGUCUGAGAGGAUGAUCAGCCACACUGGAACGGGGACAAGGUCCAGACUCCUAAGGGAGGCAGCAGUGGGGAAUAUUGGACAAGGGGCGGAAGCCUGAUCCAGCCAAACCGCGUGGGUGAAGAAGGGCAUCGGGGUGUAAAGCCCUUUUGUUGGGAAAGAAAAGCAGCAGGUUAAUACCCCGCUGUUCUGACGGUACCCAAAGAAUAAGCACCGGCUAACUUCGUG
This 492-nucleotide ribosomal RNA is filed under the name uncultured bacterium. RNAcentral's name for it is "partial 16S ribosomal RNA". It matches the Rfam family "Bacterial small subunit ribosomal RNA", at positions 29 to 507 of the family's 1533-position model. The record is from RNAcentral.